UACAGAGGUCUCAACCGUUGUUCGGAUUCAUUGGGCGUAAAGGGUGCGUAGGCGGUCGCGCAAGUCGGAUGUGAAAUCUCAGGGCUCAACCCUGAACUGCAUUCGAUACUGCGUGGCUAGAGUGCUGGAGAGGAGACUGGAAUUUACGGUGUAGCAGUGAAAUGCGUAGAUAUCGUAAGGAAGGCCAGUGGCGAAGGCGAGUCUCUGGACAGUUACUGACGCUGAGGCACGAAGGCCAGGGGAGCAAACGGG
Molecule: ribosomal RNA, 252 nt
Filed under: uncultured bacterium
Lineage: Bacteria
Description: partial 16S ribosomal RNA
Rfam family: Bacterial small subunit ribosomal RNA
Source: RNAcentral